AGGGAGCAGCAGAAAACACAGAUGGAGACCGAGGCUGGAGGGUGAGGCUGGAGGAGCAGAGGCCCUCUGCCUGUGAGGAGGCACGCGAGGAGAUAGCCUACUCCUGGGAGAGGCAGGACCACGAGAAAGCCCCGCCCCGAGGUGCAGGGACACGGACUGAGGUCGAAAGCCAGCAGCAGAGAGGCCCUCUGCCCCCAUCCUGGUGCCCCAGCCCAGCCCAGGCCAGGUCCAGUCACAGCUGUCCUCUCCUGGGGCAGGCUUAUUGAGAAAUCCCCAUAACAAGAAGGAUGAGACUGAGAGCCCAGAGUUGACAUGUGUGACACAGUUGUCAACCCUGGGGGCCUGGGAUCUCUGAAUCGGCAGCGGAAGCGUGUGGAUGAGCCCCCAGGGAUUUCUGAAUGGAGAUGGGAGCAGAGAGAGCUGGAGGAAGAAGAAAAGGGACCGGUUUUGGCUCCACCAAGAUGGCAGUGGGCUCCCCCCGCCCAGCUGUCAGAAGCAGCCACAAGAUGCCUGCCCCAAGGAUUCCAGGGAUCGGCUCCUAGAGGCCCUGCCCUCUUUCUCCAUCCUGGCCAGCACAUUCCUGCUCUUUCAUAAACACACUUGGAGUUUUGGAAACCAGUUCCAACCACCCCCAGCCCAGGACCUCACAAGAGGUAGACCACCCAUGGGUGUUAAACUAGGGUGAAGGGAGCAGCAGUGAAGGAGCCCCUCUUGUGAAACCUUCCGUGUCAUCUGCUUGGCAAGCCCAGGUGGAAAUGGCAUCUGAUCGGCCUUGCUCCUUGCUGGCAAGCCUUCCCAUUCACCUUGCAGGGGAGACAGUCAUGUCUGCAGGUCUGAGCUCAGGAACCCUCAGAUCUUUAGGAUAAGGAACAGAUUGGUGUCUCUCAGCCUAAGGUCUGUGAUGACAUGGUCUUUCCAGCUGACCUGUACUCUUGUGCCUUCUCUGCUGUGAUGCCCUGUUUCACCGCUGUGCUAUGCUCGUGUCCAACUCUUUGGGACCCCAUGGACUGUAACCCACAGGCUCCUCUGUCCAUGGGAUUCUCCAGGCAAGAAUUCUAGAGUGGGUUGCUGUCUCCUUCUCCAGGAGAUCUUCCCAACCCAGGGAUCAAACCAGAGUCUCUUGCGUCUCCUGCAUUGCCAGCCAGACUCUUUAUCAUGGCAUCACCUGGGAAGCCCCCCUGUUUCACUAAAGCUCUGUGUUUUCUUGGGCGGGUUCCAUAGCUCGGUGGGUUAUUUUCCCUGUCAGAAGUGUCUCAUUUUGUGGUAUAAAGGCCCAAAGGUCUAAAUUGUAACCUCAGUCUCUCAUCCACUAAAAGGCUUCUCCGUGGACCUUCCCCUGCCCCCAACCUUUCACUCUUGGCUGAGGCCUGGCUUGUGGAGUGGGAGGUGGUUAAUGUAUUCACCCAUAGGAUGGAUGGACGCCCACGAUCCUGCUAUUUGUUUUCAACUUGUCCCAUCUGUUCCCUUGUUCCCUUUUCCUGCUUUCUUUUAGAUUAUUUUUUAUGAUCCCAUUCUAUCUCUGCAAUUGUCUUCCUGGCUGGUAUGGACUGAAUGGUGUCCCCUCAAAAUUGACAUGUUGAAGCCCUCACCCCCAGUGUGAUGAUGGUGUUAGGAGGUGGAGGCUUUGGGAGGUGAAGAGGGUUAGGUGAGGUCAGGAGGGUGGGGCCCUCGUGGUGGGAUUAGUGAUUUAAUGAGUAAAGACACCUGAGAGCUUGCUCUUAGCCUCUCUCUACCAUGUGAGGACUUAUCAAGAAGUCGGCACCUGGGGCCUUCCCACGACUCACGUUUCCUGUGUUGGCAGGUGGGUUCUUUACCUCUAGGGCCAGCUGGGAAGCCUCCAUCAUUUCACUCUCUCUCUCUC
Molecule: long non-coding RNA, 1861 nt
Organism: Bos taurus (domestic cattle)
Lineage: Eukaryota; Metazoa; Chordata; Mammalia; Artiodactyla; Bovidae
Source: Ensembl